RNAcentral lists this ribosomal RNA (336 nucleotides) under Pseudobutyrivibrio ruminis. RNAcentral describes it as "bacterial LSU rRNA". It matches the Rfam family "Bacterial large subunit ribosomal RNA", at positions 2589 to 2925 of the family's 2925-position model. The record is from RNAcentral. Lineage: Bacteria; Bacillati; Bacillota; Clostridia; Lachnospirales; Lachnospiraceae.
UAAAGCGGUACGCGAGCUGGGUUCAGAACGUCGUGAGACAGUUCGGUCCCUAUCCGGCGCGGGCGUAGGAUAUUUGAGAGGAGCUGCCCCUAGUACGAGAGGACCGGGGUGGACGGACCACUGGUGUAUCAGCUGUCGACCAACGGCAUAGCUGAGUAGCCAAGUCUGGACGGGAUAAACGCUGAAGGCAUCUAAGCGUGAAGCCCCCCUCAAGAUGAGAUAUCCCAUUCCUUCAAGGAAAUAAGAUCCCUUAUAGACGAUAAGGUAGAUAGGUUCAAGGUGUAAGUGCGGUAACGCAUUCAGCUGAUGAAUACUAAUAGAUCGAAGGUUUAUUCU